UACGUAGGGUGCGAGCGUUGUCCGGAAUUAUUGGGCGUAAAGAGCUCGUAGGCGGUGUGUCGCGUCGGCCGUGAAAACCUGGGGCUUAACUCUGGGCGUGCGGUCGAUACGGGCAUCACUAGAGUUCGGCAGGGGAGACUGGAAUUCCUGGUGUAGCGGUGAAAUGCGCAGAUAUCAGGAGGAACACCGGUGGCGAAGGCGGGUCUCUGGGCCGAUACUGACGCUGAGGAGCGAAAGCAUGGGUAGCGAACCGG
Molecule: ribosomal RNA, 254 nt
Filed under: uncultured bacterium
Lineage: Bacteria
Description: partial 16S ribosomal RNA
Rfam family: Bacterial small subunit ribosomal RNA
Source: RNAcentral